This 440-nucleotide ribosomal RNA is filed under the name uncultured bacterium. Its description in RNAcentral is "partial 16S ribosomal RNA". It matches the Rfam family "Bacterial small subunit ribosomal RNA", at positions 338 to 795 of the family's 1533-position model. The record is from RNAcentral.
CCUACGGGCGGCAGCAGUGGGGGAUAUUGCACAAUGGGGGAAACCCUGAUGCAGCGACGCCGCGUGGGUGAAGAAGCGCCUCGGCGCGUAAAGCCCUGUCAGCAGGGAAGAAAAUGACGGUACCUGAAGAAGAAGCCCCGGCUAACUACGUGCCAGCAGCCGCGGUAAUACGUAGGGGGCAAGCGUUAUCCGGAUUUACUGGGUGUAAAGGGGGCGCAGACGGCGAUGCAAGCCAGGAGUGAAAGCCCGGGGCCCAACCCCGGGACUGCCCGUGGAACUGCGUGGCGAGAGUGCAGGAGGGGCAGGCGGAAUUCCUGGUGGAGCGGUUAAAUGCGUAGAUAUCAGGAGGAACACCGGUGGCGAAGGCGGCCUGCUGGACUGCAACUGACGUUGAGGCCCGAAAGCGUGGGGAGCAAACAGGAUUAGAUACCCCAGUAGUC